AAUGUGUUCAUUCUCAGCUAUUUUGUUUAUCUUCAUAGGUUCCCUUCCUGCAGAAUCAGCCAGCUUUAUUGACAGAAAUACUGAAGAUGUAUUGUGUCCGGCACAGCAUAACAUCGAGCAAGUCAAGGGCACUGGCAGCUCAUGGUCUACAUCCACCUCACUUUCAGCAGAAAAUUUGGACCAUAUGAACGGCAUCACCUGUGCCGGGAUGGUUUCUGUGACCCUGAAAUUCCCAUCUCCUAUACGAUCUAAAGCUAAUCUUGGCAGCCAGCUAAUUCUCGCUAGCCAGCAGCGCCCUUUACUUCAGCACGGGAGUGUUCAUCGAGCACCGCACAAUUUAACUGCCGAUACGGAUUAGCGCCGACUAUUUACCUAUUGGAUUGGUUAGAACUGGCAAUGGGAGUAAUAGUCUUCUUUUUCCAAUGACUGGUACAAGCGGCGCAUCCCCUGCCAGGUUGAAAAACAUAUCCGUGAGCUGUUAAAUACAUCUCUUUCAAGAGACAUUUGAAGGCAGUCAGUGAGCAAACAGAAGCCUGCUCAAUGUUGCUGGAGAAAUGGCCUGGAGAAAUGGCCUCAUUCGUUAACUGAUGUCGUGGGGUGGCAUGAAAACGCAGGAUGGAAGAGGUCAUGGAAAGAAGCCGAGGCAUGACCCCAAGUUUCAAGGUCAGAGUACCUAAGGAGAAGCCAGACAACCAUUGGUGAAGGUUCAGCCUCAGUUGAAUGAAACCCCCCCGGCUGGUAGGGGUCAUGGAGAGAAGUUGAGGAGUGGUACCUUCUGUCAGGGUCAGCGUCCCUAAAGAGAGGCCAGGAGGUCAUCACGUAAGGCGAAGCCUCAGUCGCAGCAGACUCCAGUAUACUAGAGAAGCCAGUGACCUCUGAGGACAGCAGCAGAUGUGGAGUGUAGCAGCCCUGAGUCUAGAGGACAACCUGUGUGUGCUGUGGGAUUGGACAGCUAGAGAAUUGGGGCCACUCAAGCCCCUCUGGAGUACAGAAUGACUGAGUCCUAGACAUCCGACCUUGAAUUAUUUAGAUUUUUUUUUUUUUUUGGUUUUGCUUUGAUCUGACUGUAACUGCACCGUGGUUAUUCUCUUUUGAAAUAAGAAAAUAUGUCAUUUGUUUUGGGUUUUAGAGGAGCCCGCAUUUAAGAGAUACUGGAUAUUUUCAAGAGACUGUGAGACUUUUAAAAGUAGACUGUGCUUUAUAUUAUGUUACGAUAUUAUGUUAGAGAUAAUAUCCCGAAAGAAAGGUUAUUUAAUAGUGUUGUGUUUGUGUGUCAAGGUGACAAGGGGUCAGUUGUGCUUGUUUUUUUGUCAUCGUGACACAGACUAGAGUCCCCUGGAAAGUGGAAAUCUCAGCUGAGGAAUUGCCUCCAUCCGACUCGUCUACGCGGCCUUUUCUUGGUUGCCGACUGACGCGGGACGAGGACCAAGUCCUCGGUAGACAGCACCAUCCCUGGGCGGACGGGCCUGGAGUUUCUAAGUCAGAGAGCUGAGCAAGCCAAGGGAAGUAAGCCAUAAACCACGGUCCUCCAUGGUUUCCGCUACAGUUUCUGACUGUGGGUACCUGUCUUGAAUUCCCCGCCCACCUUGGUUUCUCUUGAUGAUGGACUGAGGGCGACAAGAGGAAGUAACCCUUUCCUACCAAACUUGGUUUUCUAAGGGUUUGACCACAGCAACAGAGGGCAAAGUAGGGCAGAUGGGGUUCACGCUGCUCUUGUGAAGGGGUUCACGCUGCUCUUGUGAAGGGGUUCUUGCUGGUUCCCUGGAGCAGGUGACAUGAACAGGAAUGGAUAAGCUCCUGUGAGAACAGGUUUAGAUUGCAGAAUUAGUGUGAUUUCUCCCUUCUCUGUUGUUUGCUCUGACCUCAUGUGGCCUUUCUGUCUCCGUCUUUUGUAUGUGAUCCCACGGCGUCGUGCCAUUAGUAAGCUGUAACCAAGUAGAAGACCCUUACUACAGAACAAGUUGUUAUUUUAUUUUUUUUCAAGACAGUAUUUCCUUGUGCAGCCUUGGAUGUCCUGGAAAUUAGCUCUGUAGACCAGGCUGGUCUCGAACUCACAGAAAUCUGCUUGCCUCUAGGUGUGGGCCACCACUGUCUGUCUCAAAGACCAAGUUUUAUGUAGCCAUUCCCUCUGAGAUUGAAAUCUCCUAUCUCGAAGGGAAGCGCUUUAAACUCAGACCAUAAACAACUUCAUGGCUCCAGGAAAUCCCUGAAACUGAUCAGAUUCCUCAGACUCUUCUCUCCCCAAGCAUAAAGAAGCUGUAAGGUCUGCUGAUAGGUGUAGGGUGUUUACCCACCAACCCCACAGCUCCCCAGAGUUUUCUUGAGUGCGAGCAGCAGGAAAUAUUAGAAGGAUUGAGAUUGUGGAGAUAAACAGAUAGAAAAUAAAGGAUAGCCUUGAGAGGGUCCUGACUGUCUCUGCCCCAGGGCAUUUAUAGAGACACCAAAGGGUGGAGCAAAAGACCUCCCCCCCUUCCCAGUACAGCCAAGUGCAGACCAUCUCAGACACCUGCACUCAGGCCUGUGACCCUAAUCAUUCUCUAUGCAGACCUGCUGGGUUAAGCCACGAGGAACCUGAAAACCGGCUCCCACAGAUAGGUGCUUAGAGACAAGCUGGAAGAAGCAGAGACCAGCCAAGAUGUCUGGAAGAGACUCAGACCAACUGAGUUACCUGGAAAGACCACCCUCCAAACUGUGGAGCUGCUUACAGGUUGCGUAAUGCACACUUCCAGCUUUUGUGAGCUGUCACGCAUGCUGGGAUGGGCUUUGGCGAUGCAAGUGCCUUUGAGUUAUUUUCACACCUACAGUAGCCCCUUACCCCUAUUCCUGUAAGUAACCCCAAUAAAACUCAUUGGUUCACCGGUGUGGACUUCAGGGGUAUACAGGCUUUGGUCUUUUGUUGGUUGCCUAUCUGGGUUGAGGGGUGUUUGCUAGUUUCCCUACAGGAACAGCGUCAGACAACAGCAGAACGCCUGACCUUAGCCCCUCAGCCUCUAAAACUAUGAGCUAGAGAAACGUCUCGUCUUUAUCGAUCACCCAGCCUGACGUGUGUUGUCCUAGCAAACACAGGGUAGGCGGUCUUCACACGGCUAAUGUCUUGCGGUCACAAAUAAGUUUAUUUCCGGUUCUCAGGAAUAACUUUCUUCUCCUGCUAGAUCAGAGGACAAGUGAGUAGAAAUUAUUUUAGGAAAAAUUUCAGGUUUCUUCAAGCCAAUAAAAGAACGGGAUAUUUUUAUUUUACAGGUAAUUCAUAAAUUAAUUGUGAGACAUGUAGUUACUGACCAAGAGACUUGGUCACUAUCUGUUGGGCAGUACC
Peromyscus californicus insignis is the source of this 3313-nucleotide long non-coding RNA. RefSeq lists it as uncharacterized. Lineage: Eukaryota; Metazoa; Chordata; Mammalia; Rodentia; Cricetidae. The transcript is spliced from 3 exons. The record is from RefSeq and is a predicted model, not a curated record.